This 819-nucleotide ribosomal RNA is filed under the name uncultured bacterium. Its description in RNAcentral is "bacterial SSU rRNA". It matches the Rfam family "Bacterial small subunit ribosomal RNA", at positions 8 to 848 of the family's 1533-position model. The record is from RNAcentral.
AGAGUUUGAUCCUGGCUCAGGACGAACGCUUGCGGCGUGCCUAAGAAAUGCAAGUCGAGCGGGGAGCAAUCCCAGCGGCGAACGGUCGCGUAACACGUAAGCAACCUGCCCGAAAGACCGGGAUAACGUUUCGAAAGAGGCGCUAAUACCGGAUGUGGCCAGCGGGGCAUAUGCUCUGUUGAUUAAAUCAUUUAUGGCUUUCGGAGGGGCUUGCGGCCUAUCAGCUAGAUGGCGAGGUAACGGCUCACCAUGGCGUCGACGGGUAGCUGGUCUGAGAGGAUGGUCAGCCGGACUGGGACUGAGAUACGGCCCAGACUCCUACGGGGGGCAGCAAUUAGGAAUCUUGCGCAAUGGGCGAAAGCCUGACGCAGCGACGCCGCGUGGAGGAGGAAGGCCUUCGGGUUGUAAACUCCUUUUAGGUGGGAAGAAACAAAUGACGGUACCACCAGAAUAAGCCCCGGCUAACUCCGUGCCAGCAGCCGCGGUAAUACGGAGGGGGCGAGCGUUGUCCGAAGUUACUGGGCGUAAAGCGCGCGUAGGUGGGUUGGCAAGUCCGCUGUGAAAGCCCGGGGCUUAACUCCGGAGGGUCGGUGGAUACUGCCAGUCUUGAAGGUGCUAGGGGGAGAUGGAAUUACCGGUGUGGCGGUGAAAUGCGUAGAUAUCGGUAGGAACACCAGUGGCGAAGGCGGUCUCCUGGGGCAUUCUUGACGCUGAUGCGCGAAAGCUGGGGGGAGCGAACGGGAUUAGGUACCCCCGGUAGUCCCAGCCCUAAACGAUGGAUACUAAGGUGUCAGGGGGUAUCGACCCCCUUUGGUGCCG